This 454-nucleotide ribosomal RNA is filed under the name uncultured organism. Its description in RNAcentral is "partial 16S ribosomal RNA". It matches the Rfam family "Bacterial small subunit ribosomal RNA", at positions 331 to 801 of the family's 1533-position model. The record is from RNAcentral.
GUACACUCCUACGGGAGGCAGCAGUGGGGAAUAUUGGACAAUGGGCGCAAGCCUGAUACAGCCAUGCCGCGUGAGUGAUGAAGGCCCUAGGGUUGUAAAGCUCUUUCACCGGUGAAGAUAAUGACGGUAACCGGAGAAGAAGCCCCGGCUAACUUCGUGCCAGCAGCCGCGGUAAUACGAAGGGGGCUAGCGUUGUUCGGAUUUACUGGGCGUAAAGCGCACGUAGGCGGACUAUUAAGUCAGGGGUGAAAUCCCGGGGCUCAACCCCGGAACUGCCUUUGAUACUGGUAGUCUUGAGUUCGAGAGAGGUGAGUGGAAUUCCGAGUGUAGAGGUGAAAUUCGUAGAUAUUCGGAGGAACACCAGUGGCGAAGGCGGCUCACUGGCUCGAUACUGACGCUGAGGUGCGAAAGCGUGGGUAGCAAACAGGAUGAGAUACCCCAGUAGUCCCAUGAU